UUUUCUCCUCUGAGUUGUUCUUGUCUGGUAUUUUGGUCACAGAGAUGAAAGGCUAACACAGUAACUAGUACCAAGAAGUUGGGUCCUUCCUGUGACAUACCUCACCAUAUGAUUCUGAAACCCUUAAAACUGAUUUGCCAGAGGAUUUUGGAAAAGUUUGGAGAUACAGGUGGAGAAGCCUUAGAGUGUUGUAAGCAGAACUUAAUGGCUGAUUUUGAUUGGAGCCCAGAAGAACACAAUGCCUGUAGAAAUGUGGACUGGGAAAACUAUGCUCAUGAGGUUUCAGAUGGGAACAGGGACUUCAAAGGGAAUUAGUGUAGAGGCCACACAUUAUAUUCUGAUGCAGAAUUUGUCUACAUUUUGUCCAUAUCCUGAGACUUUCUGUCGACUGAAUUUUAAGAUGAUGGACUAAUUAACCUGGUGUAGGAAAUUUCAAGGUGGCAAGAUCAAGGGUGUAAAGGUGAAAACUCAUUUAAGGAGCAACCAUUGGGGCACCCUGCUUGCCCAGCCAAUGAAGCCCAGGAAGUUGCUUCCCCAGUGUUUUGUUUCAUCAUGCUCAGCUGU
RNAcentral lists this long non-coding RNA (564 nucleotides) under Marmota monax (woodchuck). The record is from RNAcentral. Lineage: Eukaryota; Metazoa; Chordata; Mammalia; Rodentia; Sciuridae.